This 253-nucleotide ribosomal RNA is filed under the name uncultured bacterium. Its description in RNAcentral is "partial 16S ribosomal RNA". It matches the Rfam family "Bacterial small subunit ribosomal RNA", at positions 524 to 776 of the family's 1533-position model. The record is from RNAcentral.
UACGGAGGAUGCGAGCGUUAAUCGGAAUUACUGGGCGUAAAGGGUGUGCAGGCGGCUGAGUAAGACAGAUGUGAAAUCCCCGGGCUUAACCUGGGAACCGCAUAUGUGACUGCUUGGCUAGAGUGCGUCAGAGGGAGGUGGAAUUCCACGUGUAGCAGUGAAAUGCGUAGAUAUCGAGAGGAACACUCGUGGCGAAGGCGGGUUCCUGGACAUUAACUGACGCUGAGGCACGAAGGCCAGGGGAGCGAAAGGG